UAUUCCCCACUGCUGCCUCCCGUAGGAGUCUGGGCCGUAUCUCAGUCCCAAUGUGGCCGUUCAACCUCUCAGUCCGGCUACUGAUCGCAGACUUGGUGGGCCGUUGCCCCGCCAACUAUCUAAUCAGACAUGAGCCCAUCCCAGAGCGAUAAAUCUUUGGUCACCAGAAGAUGCCUUCCGGUGACAUCAUGCGGUAUUAGCAGCCGUUUCCAGCUGUUGUCCCCCUCUCCAGGGCAGGUUGCUCAUGCAUUACUCACCCGUCCGCCACUAAGUCAAAGUUUCAAUCGACCGAAGUCUCUUUCCACAGUGCUUCGUUCGACUUGCAUGUGUUAGGCACGCCGCCAGCGUUCAUCCUGAGCCAA
Molecule: ribosomal RNA, 362 nt
Filed under: uncultured rumen bacterium
Lineage: Bacteria
Description: partial 16S ribosomal RNA
Source: RNAcentral